This 990-nucleotide ribosomal RNA is filed under the name uncultured bacterium. Its description in RNAcentral is "bacterial SSU rRNA". It matches the Rfam family "Bacterial small subunit ribosomal RNA", at positions 8 to 1011 of the family's 1533-position model. The record is from RNAcentral.
AGAGUUUGAUCAUGGCUCAGAAUCAACGCUGGCGGCGUGCCUCAGACAUGCAAGUCGAACGAUUAAGACUUCCUUCGGGAAGUGCAUAAAGUGGCGCACGGGUGAGUAACACGUAAGUAAUCUGCCCUCGAGUGGGGAAUAACGUCCGGAAACGGACGCUAAUACCGCAUAACGCAGCGGCACCUAAUGGUGACAGUUGUUAAAGGAGCAAUCCGCUUGAGGAGGAGCUUGCGGCAGAUUAGCUAGUUGGUAAGGUAAUGGCUUACCAAGGCUACGAUCUGUAACCGGUCUAAGAGGACGGUCGGUCACACUGACACUGAAUAACGGGUCAGACUCCUACGGGAGGCAGCAGUCGGGAAUUUUGGGCAAUGGGCGAAAGCCUGACCCAGCAACGCCGCGUGAAGGAUGAAGUAUUUCGGUAUGUAAACUUCGAAAGAAUGGGAAGAAACAAAUGACGGUACCAUUUAUAAGGUCCGGCUAACUACGUGCCAGCAGCCGCGGUAAUACGUAGGGACCAAGCGUUGUUCGGAUUUACUGGGCGUAAAGGGCGCGUAGGCGGCAAUUCAAGUCAUCUGUGAAAUCUCCGGGCUUAACUCGGAACUGUCAGAUGAUACUGCUUUGCUAGAGUGCGGAAGGGGCAGUCGGAAUUCUUGGUGUAGCGGUGAAAUGCGUAGAUAUCAAGAGGAACACCUGAGGUGAAGACGGGUUGCUGGGCCGACACUGACGCUGAUAGCGCGAAAGCCAGGGGAGCAAACGGGAUUAGAUACCCCGGUAGUCCUGGCCUUAAACGAUGAAUACUUGGUGUCUGGAGUCUUUAAAGCUCCGGUGCCGUCGCUAACGUUUUUAGUAUUCCGCCUGGGGAGUACGCUCGCAAGAGUGAAACUCAAAGAAUGACGGGACCCGCACAGCGGUGGAGCAUGUGGUUUAAUUCGACGCAACGCGAAGAACCUUACCUGGACUAGAAUGGUGAGGAAGCUUGGGUAACGCCAA